GACAGAUUGCGAAUUAUUCGCUCGUUCGUGUUUGUUGUCUACUUUUUUUGCUCGCGCUUCGGUGUUUACGGUGUUUACGAUAUAAUCAUCGGUCUGACCUUCCAGCUGGCUUCAGGAUGUGAUCGGAACUAAAACCACGACAAAACGGCACAGCAAGUGGGGCAAUAGAUUGCUGCUCGGUCGAAACGGAAGCGGUGACGAAACGCAUGACGGCAAGGCGACCAGUAUGCUCUAAAAUCAAGUUUGCCUUGGACGCAAGUCAGGACAGAAUACCAGAGGUCCUAAUGAAACCGAGUACGACACUACACUAUGACUCUUGGAGAAUACGUCGUUAUUAAUCCCUGAAGCAUGAGAUGCAUACUAAAAUCCAUUCUGACUGAAAUUACCGACUAUGGAAGAAAUAUGUAGUUAACAAAUAACGUCCUUUCAGGAUGCAGACAACCCGUGUUGUUAAUUAGUGUACAUUUGCUAGGAUGGAAGGAACAUACCAAUUAAGUAUUAACAUCGUACUAUGCUCACAGGGCUGAUAGCGAGUCACUUAUUAGUGACUUGGUAAAUUUUCGGACCUGGCCACUAAAAAGUCACUAGUAACUUUUUUCAUUAAAAAAAUGGUAACUAAAGUCACAAUUUUCGUGGUCUGAUAAUGAAUAAACGAUAAUCUGGAUCAGCUUCUUAAGCUUUUUGUUAUUCUAAUGCAAACAUUCUUUGCUAACUAUCUGCUAGAUUCAGGUGAAUGUUGCGCAGACAUUUUUGACAGAAUAUCUGGAAUUUAUUUGUUGGGUUUUGUUAAUAAGUUCUAGGUAUUUUUUGAAAGUUAAGUGUCAUCAUAAUUUCUGACCACCAUAAUGAGCUUAUUUAGUGGUAAUAUCUGAUGAAAUCAUUAGAGAAUAGCCCGAAGGGAUUUUGACCUACUUUUUGAAGGAAACUCAA
This 930-nucleotide long non-coding RNA is filed under the name Aedes aegypti (yellow fever mosquito). RNAcentral's name for it is "lncRNA AAEL022619". The record is from RNAcentral. Lineage: Eukaryota; Metazoa; Arthropoda; Insecta; Diptera; Culicidae.